UAUAUAUAUAUAAACAAAACACAAAAUUUGUUUUUAAAUAAAGCAAUUAAAAGAUAAAAUUCUCAUUUCCAUGACAUUGUAUCACAUGAAUUCUGGAUCCUGACACAAAAAUACAGAGGAAAAUGAAACCGAUUGUGAUAAUGCUCCCAUUGAAAUGUUCUUCUGCAUGAACUGCCUUGCACUUCUUUUUCAGCUUCUGUAAGCCGCCUCCAUCUUUGGUCCUCAAUAAAUACAUACAUAUCCCCACACUAACUGAGUGGAAGGAGAAUGUUCUCCCUUUCACACUCCUCCUUCCCUUGAUUCCAUCUUCAGCCAGAUUUCUGUAUGCCCAAAUACAUUUUUGUGCACAGAUUGGCCUUCAAGCUUUGAAUUUGCAUGUGCAAAAGGGUGCUGCUGUUAAGGGGGGAGGGGGGAGUACUGAAUAUCACUUUAGGUGGAAGGAGCUGGCUUAGGUACAUGUGGACACAACCCUGAGCAAGUCAAAGCUGGCAGCAACGUGAUUGAUUUUCUCUUCAGCUGUUGUGUAAGGAUUUGAAUUGGGCCCUUGGCUUACCUGGAUAAAAGAAACAGUUUGCCUCUGGCAAUGAGUAUGAUUGACCUUAGUUAUGUGCUCUUAGCACAUGUUGGCAAAAGCUUUUGUUUUUAAAUUAAAACUUUGCAGAAAGCCAUAUACCCCUUUAGCAUGGACAUCCACCCUCUUUCAGACACUUGUACAGUGUGGGGUUCUCUCUUGAUUCACUUCAGUCCAGUUUCCCUUACUGGAGUGGAACCAACUUCUCUGGUUGCCAAAAAGCUAAUGAGUGGGAAUAUUUUCAAGUCAAAACAAAAAUAUUUCCUUCCACCCACAGUCCAAUUAUUAUGGUUUCAGAAUGCAGCUCCUGCAAAUUAGCAACACCUUAGGAACACAUGUAAUUUAGUUAACUUUGGUUUAUCACAAUCAAUAACAGAUUAGGCAAAAAAACAACAACCAUUCUUUGUCAUGGCAAACCCUUUAUUAGGGACAUAAAUUGGAUCCAUUAUUUGUUUUAAUAGGCUGCGAUGAAGGAAGCAUUUUUUUAAUUGAUUUCAAAAUAUUCCUACCCAUUAACAUGGGGAGAAUUAAUUUUAAAAGUGGAUAAUAUAAAGCAGCAGGCACUGCAAUCUGAACAAGUUCCUUACCCCUACUCUGACGCUUCAUAGGAAUGACUCUGUAAGGAAUACAGCAUUUCAGCCAAGAGCCCAUUCCAGCAGAAGCACAAAAGGAGAUGCUGUGGAGGAGACUUGAUUUGAUGGGAACCUUGCAGAAUGAAUGCAGCCUGUUUCUAGCCAUGAUUGUGCAAAAAGACUUAACUCCAAAGUAAGUGGGCAUAUGACUACAGCCUUAGUUUGUAAUUUUCUACUUAUGGCCAUUGGGCAGCUGUGGGGAGCCUUCAAAUGUUGCUGUGCCGUCAUUCUGAUCUUCCCUGAUCCAGACUGGUCAUGGUGGCUGUGGCUGAUGGAAAUUAAGCAACUUCUAAAGGGCCAAAGGUUCCCAUCUCUGCUAUAGGACAUGAAAGGUAGUACCAGAUGUUCUCUUCACACAACUUAUACUGGAAUAGAUGCAAUGAACUCAACGGAAGACAACACACACACACAGAGAGAGAGAGAGAAUGGUCUUGUCAGAUCCUGGUUCAAAUGAUCUUAUGGUGCCACAGUAGGAAAGGGCUCCUGCCUUGAGGGGCAUAAAUUAACUUUCCAUGUCUUACUUGCCAAAGGCAGAGAUAAAUCAUAUGGUUGUCCCAUCUACAUCUGGUUCUCUUAUGUCAUGGCUAUGGAGUUUGAAGCUUUGUGCUCAUUUUUAAAAAAUUCUUUGCAAGUGGUUGACACUGCAGAGGGCCAGAUGCAAGCUGCUAGUGGAAUGGGAAGCUGUUUAGGGAUUUGAGUGCAGUUAAGAGAGCACAGAUGAGCACCUCAAGGUGGGUGGGGGGGUUAGGAAAAAAUGCUAAUUUAUGUGGGCCAAGACUAGUAUGAGUGAGCAAACUCUUAGGAACUAUAGCUUCUAUUUUUGGUUUGUGACUAGGUGAGUCAGUUUUCCUUUCUGCAAAGGAUUGCUACAAUCCACCUGCAUCUUUUUUUAUUCUGAAGUGCCUGUAACCUAUCACAUGGUACAAAGAUUGACAACCAACAGCAAAGUGCUUGCUGGCUCCCAGCCAGUGAGGAGUUGGCUGUGUGCAAAUAUUCAAAGUGGCAUUUGCAGUAACAUUCCAGCAGUUGGAUCCAGUUCAUGCAAUGGUGGCACAUGACCAAGCCAGCAUGGACGGAGGGCCAAACCAGGCAGGCUUUUCUUUUGAACACCACAUGCGCAGGUGGUCAUAUGCCCAAACAGAGGCAAUUUUAACUGAGGCAUUUUCUGCACAUCCAGCAACAUGGACACUAAAUUUCAAGAGGUGCCAUUGCUUAGUAUUGCACAUCACAAUAUCUUUACAGAUCAUGAGUCCUAGGCACAAGUUGACUAGGAAUGCCUUGAUGGGGGAAAACCAGUUAUCUAUAUUCUUUGGACCACACCUGCAUGAGGCAGGUGUCAAUGAGGUGGUUCAGCAGCCACUGUGCUGAUCCCCGUAAACCAAGGAUGGGGAAACUUGUGCCUCUCCACGUGAUGCUGUACUACAUUUGCCAACAUUUCUUUUCCUUGGCUAUGCUCACUGGGAUGUAUGGAAGUUGAAUGAUCUCUAGAAAGCCACAAUUUCCCCAUCCCUAUUGUAAACUGUGGAUUAGCUAGGUCCAGCACAGGCUGAAGCACUCCCAAGUGCUCAGACAGCAAGUACUAGAAGAAUCAGUCCAGUCCAGGAAUAUUACCAUGCUGGGUAUACUUCAAACAAGAGUCUCCUAACUUUUUCCUUACAGGCAGCAGCUGCUAGGUAUUGCAGGGAACUGGGUCUUUUAGAAAUGCUGUGCCACAAUCCUCUUGGGUUUUUUUUAAGGACAUCUGUAUUAAAGGGCUUUCUGCCUUCCCGAUAUGAGUUGGCCAUCAUUAUAUUGACAGCCUCAAUGCUAUACAGGCAACUCUCCAUUUGCACAGGGGCUGCAUCCCGCAGCGAAAAAUGGCACACACACAACAUGGGAAUUGCCUGUACAUUUAGCCUGGCGUGACUCUGAUGAGGGCAAAACUGUCCACUAAGUUGGUGAAGCAAAACACUUUUCAUUGGGGGAAAUGAAAAUCUCAGACAUCAGCAAUCCACUGUCCCUUUCCGAAUGUUUUCUUAAUCUACCUCUUUCCUUACCUAACUGUUUCUGGUGUUCAUAUUAGGGAGCUGAGGC
This is a non-coding RNA of Podarcis muralis (Common wall lizard), 3276 nucleotides long. The record is from RefSeq and is a predicted model, not a curated record. Lineage: Eukaryota; Metazoa; Chordata; Lepidosauria; Squamata; Lacertidae.